CCAUCUCCGGCCGUCUCUAUAUCUGAUUCAGCUCCGACGAGUCAACCACCGUACCGCCACGAGCAGACCCAGCCGAAUCACCACCACCCCCGACGAGCCCAUCAAUCAUGUCGUCGAAUUGGCCAUCCUCAGGGAAAUGGCAGUGAAGCGGUUCGGGAAUGUUAUUAUGGUAUGAGAACAUAUCUAAGUACUUCAUGGACGAAGAAAAAUCCGGAAAGACAAUUCUUUGGAUGCGCUCAAUACGGCAAAGGCUCGCAUUGCAAGUAAUUUGAAUGGUUUGAACCACGCAUUUGUGAAUGUGGCGGCAAGCUUGUAUACGAGAUGAGGGUGAGGAUUAAGAUUAUGGAAGAAGAACUUCGUAAACGAGCAAAAAAAGAGAAGCGAUCAAAUGUCCUUUGUUUGUGUCAUGGGGAUUAUCUGUUGCACUUUUGUUUGCUUUUGUGUUCGUUUUAGAUCACGUUUGUUUAUGUAGUAGCAACAUAUUAAAUUGGUCAUGAUUGUAUAUAAGCGUGGAUGCCUUUUGUUCUAUGUAAUUACAUGUAAUUUUAAAACUUUUGCUUUAUUUAUAAAUGCCUAGGUAGAAAAUCCAAUCCUAA
Long non-coding RNA from Alnus glutinosa, 596 nucleotides. RefSeq lists it as uncharacterized. The record is from RefSeq and is a predicted model, not a curated record. NCBI's taxonomy places the organism in Eukaryota, Viridiplantae, Streptophyta, Magnoliopsida, Fagales, Betulaceae. The transcript is spliced from 2 exons.